UCGGGAAUUUUGGGCAAUGGGCGAAAGCCUGACCCAGCAACGCCGCGUGAGGGAUGAAGUAUUUCGGUAUGUAAACCUCGAAAGAAUGGGAAGAAUAAAUGACGGUACCAUUUAUAAGCUCCGGCUAACUACGUGCCAGCAGCCGCGGUAAUACGUAGGGAGCAAGCGUUGUUCGGAUUUACUGGGCGUAAAGGGCGCGUAGGCGGCGCGGUAAGUCACUUGUGAAAUCUCUGAGCUUAACUCAGAACGGCCAAGUGAUACUGCUGUGCUAGAGUGCGGAAGAGGCCACCGGAUUUCUGGGUGUAGCGGUGAAAUGCGUAGAUAUCAAGAGGAACACCUGAGGCGAAGGCGGGUUGCUGGGCCGACACUGACGCUGAUGCGCGAAAGCCAGGGGAGCAAACG
RNAcentral lists this ribosomal RNA (402 nucleotides) under uncultured bacterium. Its description in RNAcentral is "bacterial SSU rRNA". It matches the Rfam family "Bacterial small subunit ribosomal RNA", at positions 355 to 774 of the family's 1533-position model. The record is from RNAcentral.